This 1372-nucleotide ribosomal RNA is filed under the name uncultured bacterium. RNAcentral describes it as "bacterial SSU rRNA". It matches the Rfam family "Bacterial small subunit ribosomal RNA", at positions 28 to 1381 of the family's 1533-position model. The record is from RNAcentral.
GAUGAACGCUGGCGGCGUGCCUAAUACAUGCAAGUCGAGCGAACAGAUAAGGAGCUUGCUCCUUUGACGUUAGCGGCGGACGGGUGAGUAACACGUGGGUAACCUACCUAUAAGACUGGGAUAACUUCGGGAAACCGGAGCUAAUACCAGAUAAUAUUUCGAACCGCAUGGUUCGAUAGUGAAAGAUGGUUUUGCUAUCACUUAUAGGUGGACCCGCGCCGUAUUAGCUAGUUGGUAAGGUAACGGCUUACCAAGGCGACGAUACGUAGCCGACCUGAGAGGGUGAUCGGCCACACUGGAACUGAGACACGGUCCAGACUCCUACGGGAGGCAGCAGUAGGGAAUCUUCCGCAAUGGGCGAAAGCCUGACGGAGCAACGCCGCGUGAGUGAUGAAGGUCUUCGGAUCGUAAAACUCUGUUAUUAGGGAAGAACAUACGUGUAAGUAACUGUGCACGUCUUGACGGUACCUAAUCAGAAAGCCACGGCUAACUACGUGCCAGCAGCCGCGGUAAUACGUAGGUGGCAAGCGUUAUCCGGAAUUAUUGGGCGUAAAGCGCGCGUAGGCGGUUUUUUAAGUCUGAUGUGAAAGCCCACGGCUCAACCGUGGAGGGUCAUUGGAAACUGGAAAACUUGAGUGCAGAAGAGGAAAGUGGAAUUCCAUGUGUAGCGGUGAAAUGCGCAGAGAUAUGGAGGAACACCAGUGGCGAAGGCGACUUUCUGGUCUGUAACUGACGCUGAUGUGCGAAAGCGUGGGGAUCAAACAGGAUUAGAUACCCUGGUAGUCCACGCCGUAAACGAUGAGUGCUAAGUGUUAGGGGGUUUCCGCCCCUUAGUGCUGCAGCUAACGCAUUAAGCACUCCGCCUGGGGAGUACGACCGCAAGGUUGAAACUCAAAGGAAUUGACGGGGACCCGCACAAGCGGUGGAGCAUGUGGUUUAAUUCGAAGCAACGCGAAGAACCUUACCAAAUCUUGACAUCCUUUGACAACUCUAGAGAUAGAGCUUUCCCCUUCGGGGGACAAAGUGACAGGUGGUGCAUGGUUGUCGUCAGCUCGUGUCGUGAGAUGUUGGGUUAAGUCCCGCAACGAGCGCAACCCUUAAGCUUAGUUACCAUCAUUAAGUUGGGCACUCUAAGUUGACUGCCGGUGACAAACCGGAGGAAGGUGGGGAUGACGUCAAAUCAUCAUGCCCCUUAUGAUUUGGGCUACACACGUGCUACAAUGGACAAUACAAAGGGCAGCGAAACCGCGAGGUCAAGCAAAUCCCAUAAAGUUGUUCUCAGUUCGGAUUGUAGUCUGCAACUCGACUACAUGAAGUUGGAAUCGCUAGUAAUCGUAGAUCAGCAUGCUACGGUGAAUACGUUCCCGGGUCU